CCAGUGAGAUAUACCUGCUGGAGCGCAUGCUACAGGUGGGUGUUGCUAUGGUGACCAGUGAGAUAUACCUGCUGGAGCGCAUGCUACAGGUGGGGGUUGCUAUGGUGACCAGUGAGCUGAGAUAAGGCAGGGCUUUACCUAGCAGAGACUUGUAGAUAACCUGUAGCCAGUGGGUUUGGCGACUAGUAUGAAGCGAGGGCCAACCAACCAGAGCGUACAGGUCACAAUGGUGGGUAGUAUAUGGGGCUUUGGUGACAAAACGGAUGGCACUGUAAUAGACUGCAUCCAGUUUGCUGAGUAGAGUGUUGGAGGCUAUUUUAUAGAUGACAUCACCGAAGUCGAGGAUCGGUAGGAUGGUCAGUUUUACGAGGGUAUGUUUGGCAGCAUGAGUGAAGGAUGCUUUGUUGAGAUAUAGGAAGCAGAUUCUAGAUUUAAUUUUGGACUGGAGAUGCUUAAUGUGAGUCUGGAAAGAGGAAUGGGCCAAAAUUCACCCAACUUAUUGUGGGAAGCUUGUGGAAGGCUACCCAAAAUGUUUGACCCGAGUUAAACAAUUUAAAGGCAAUGCUACCAAAUACUAAUUGAGUUUAUAUAAACUUCUGACCCACUGGGCAUGUGAUGAAAGAAAUAAAAGCUGAAUUAAAUAAUUCUCUACUAUUAUUCUAACAUUUCACAUUCUUAAAAAUGAAGUGGUGAUCCUAACUGACCAAAGACAGGGGAUUUUUACUAGGAUUAAAUGUCAGGAAUUGUGAAAAACUGAGUUUAAAGUUAUUUGGCUAAGGUGUAUGUAAACUUCUGACUUCAAUUGCAUGUGUACAUCUAAUAUGUGUGUAUAUAUAUAUAUAUAUGAAAGUUAAGUUAAUAAAU
Molecule: long non-coding RNA, 864 nt
Organism: Oncorhynchus tshawytscha (Chinook salmon)
Lineage: Eukaryota; Metazoa; Chordata; Actinopteri; Salmoniformes; Salmonidae
Source: Ensembl